This 305-nucleotide ribosomal RNA is filed under the name uncultured bacterium. Its description in RNAcentral is "bacterial SSU rRNA". It matches the Rfam family "Bacterial small subunit ribosomal RNA", at positions 338 to 660 of the family's 1533-position model. The record is from RNAcentral.
CCUACGGGGGGCAGCAGUGGGGAAUAUUGCACAAUGGGGGAAACCCUGAUGCAGCGACGCCGCGUGAGUGAAGAAGUAUUUCGGUAUGUAAAGCUCUAUCAGCAGGGAAGAAAAUGACGGUACCUGACUAAGAAGCCCCGGCUAACUACGUGCCAGCAGCCGCGGUAAUACGUAGGGGGCAAGCGUUGUCCGGAAUCAUUGGGCGUAAAGAGUUCGUAGGCGGUAUGUUAAGUCUGGUGUUAAAUGCAGAAGCUCAACUUCUGUUCGGCACUGGAUACUGGCAAACUAGAAUGCGGUAGAGGUAA